RNAcentral lists this ribosomal RNA (459 nucleotides) under uncultured bacterium. RNAcentral describes it as "partial 16S ribosomal RNA". It matches the Rfam family "Bacterial small subunit ribosomal RNA", at positions 338 to 795 of the family's 1533-position model. The record is from RNAcentral.
CCUACGGGUGGCAGCAGUGACGAAUAUUGGUCAAUGGACGCAAGUCUGAACCAGCCAUGCCGCGUGCAGGAAGACGGCUCUAUGAGUUGUAAACUGCUUUUGUACGAGGGUAAACGCAGAUACGCGUAUCUGUCUGAAAGUAUCGUACGAAUAAGGAUCGGCUAACUCCGUGCCAGCAGCCGCGGUAAUACGGAGGAUUCAAGCGUUAUCCGGAUUUAUUGGGUUUAAAGGGUGCGUGGGCGGUCGGAAAGGUUGGGGGUAAAACCCCGGGGCUCAACUCGGAAUUGCCUCUGAUACAGUUCGGCUAGAGAGUAGUUGCGGUAGGCGGAAUGUAUGGUGUAGCGGUGAAAUGCUUAGAGAUCAUACAGAACACCGAUUGCGAAGGCAGCUUACCAAGCUACGUCUGACGUUGAGGCACGAAAGCGUGGGGAGCAAACAGGAUUAGAUACCCGGGUAGUC